AAUUAACGAUUUAAGUCCUUCUUAAAUGAGGCCAUUUACCCAUAGAGGGUGCCAGGCCCGUAUAACGUUAAUGAUUACUAGAUGAUGUUUCCAAAGAGUCGUGUUGCUUGAUAGUGCAGCACUAAGUGGGUGGUAAACUCCAUCUAAAACUAAAUAUAACCAUGAGACCGAUAGUAAACAAGUACCGUGAGGGAAAGUUGAAAAGAACUCUGAAUAGAGAGUUAAACAACGUGAAACUGCUUAGAGGUUAAGCCCGAUGAACCUGAAUAUCCGUUAUGGAAAAUUCAUCAUUAAAGUUGUAAUAUUUUAACAAUAUUAUAAUAAUAGUGUGCAUUUUUUCCAUAUAAGGACAUUGUAAUCUAUUAGCAUAUAACAAAUUUAUCAUAAAAUAUGACUUAUAGUUUAUUCAAAUUAUUAUGCUUGCAUUUUAACAUAGAAUAAAUUUCAUUAAUUUGAUAAAGUGUUGAUAAAUUAAAAUUAAUACAGUGCGUUAAUUUUUCGAAAUUAUAUAAUGGCAUAAUUAUCAUUGAUUUUUGUGUUUAUUAUAUGCAUUUGUAUGAUUAACAAUGCGAAAGAUUCAGGAUACCUUCGGGACCCGUCUUGAAACACGGACCAAGGAGUCUAACAUAUGUGCAAGUUAUUGGGAGAUAAACCUAAUAGCGUAAUUAACUUGACUAAUAAUGGGAUUAGUUUUUUAACUAUUUAUAGAUAAUUAACACAAUCCCGGGGCGUUCUAUAUAGUUAUGUAUAAUAAUAUUUAUAUUAUUUAUGCCUCUAACUGGAACGUACCUUGAGCAUAUAUGCUGUGACCCGAAAGAUGGUGAACUAUACUUGAUCAGGUUGAAGUCAGGGGAAACCCUGAUGGAAGACCGAAACAGUUCUGACGUGCAAAUCGAUUGUCAGAAUUGAGUAUAGGGGCGAAAGACCAAUCGAACCAUCUAGUAGCUGGUUCCUUCCGAAGUUUCCCUCAGGAUAGCUGGUGCAUUUUAAUGUUAUAUAAAAUAAUCUUAUCUGGUAAAGCGAAUGAUUAGAGGCCUUAGGGUCGAAACGAUCUUAACCUAUUCUCAAACUUUAAAUGGGUAAGAACCUUAACUUUCUUGAUAUGAAGUUUAAGGUUAUGAUAUAAUGUGCCCAGUGGGCCACUUUUGGUAAGCAGAACUGGCGCUGUGGGAUGAACCAAACGUAAUGUUACGGUGCCCAAAUUAACAACUCAUGCAGAAACCAUGAAAGGCGUUGGUUGCUUAAAACAGCAGGACGGUGAUCAUGGAAGUCGAAAUCCGCUAAGGAGUGUGUAACAACUCACCUGCCGAAGCAACUAGCCCUUAAAAUGGAUGGCGCUUAAGUUGUAUACCUAUACAUUACCGCUAAAGUAGAUGAUUUAUAUUACUUGUGAUAUAAAUUUUGAAACUUUAGUGAGUAGGAAGGUACAAUGGUAUGCGUAGAAGUGUUUGGCGUAAGCCUUCAUGGAGCUGCCAUUGGCACAGAUCUUGGUGGUAGUAGCAAAUAAUCGAAUGAGACCUUGGAGGACUGAAGUGGAGAAGGGUUUCGUGUGAACAGUGGUUGAUCACGAGUUAGUCGGUCCUAAGUUCAAGGCGAAAGCCGAAAAUUUUCAAGUAAAAAAUCAGUGAGUAAUAUUGUCAAAUCUUUUAUGAUUUUUAAAUACUUGAAUAAUUUUGAACGAAAGGGAAUACGGUUCCAAUUCCGUAACCUGUUGAGUAUCCGUUUGUUAUUAAAUAUGGGCCUCGUGCUCAUCCUGGCAACAGGAACGACCAUAAAGAAGCCGUCGAGAGAUAUCGGAAGAGUUUUCUUUUCUGUUUUAUAGCCGUACUACCAUGGAAGUCUUUCGCAGAGAGAUAUGGUAGAUGGGCUAGAAGAGCAUGACAUAUACUGUUGUGUCGAUAUUUUCUCCUCGGACCUUGAAAAUUUAUGGUGGGGACACGCAAACUUCUCAACAGGCCGUACCAAUAUCCGCAGCUGGUCUACAAGGUGAAGAGUCUCUAGUCGAUAGAAUAAUGUAGGUAAGGGAAGUCGGCAAAUUAGAUCCGUAACUUCGGGAUAAGGAUUGGCUCUGAAGAUUGAGAUAGUCGGGCUUGAUUGGGAAACAAUAACAUGGUUUAUGUGCUCGUUCUGGGUAAAUAGAGUUUCUAUCAUUUAUGGUAGUUACUUGUUCCCCGGAUAGUUUAGUUACGUAGCCAAUUGUGGAACUUUCUUGCUAAAAUUUUUAAGAAUACUAAUUGGGUUAAACCAGUUAGUUCUUAUUAAUUAUAACGAUUAUCAAUUAACAAUCAAUUCAGAACUGGCACGGACUUGGGGAAUCCGACUGUCUAAUUAAAACAAAGCAUUGUGAUGGCCCUAGCGGGUGUUGACACAAUGUGAUUUCUGCCCAGUGCUCUGAAUGUCAAAGUGAAGAAAUUCAAGUAAGCGCGGGUCAACGGCGGGAGUAACUAUGACUCUCUUAAGGCCAAAUGCCUCGUCAUCUAAUUAGUGACGCGCAUGAAUGGAUUAACGAGAUUCCUACUGUCCCUAUCUACUAUCUAGCGAAACCACAGCCAAGGGAACGGGCUUGGAAUAAUUAGCGGGGAAAGAAGACCCUUUUGAGCUUGACUCUAAUCUGGCAGUGUAAGGAGACAUAAGAGGUGUAGCAUAAGUGGGAGAUAUUAGAUUUCGGUUUGGUAUCGACAAUGAAAUACCACUACUCUUAUUGUUUCCUUACUUACUUGAUUAAAUGGAACGUGUAUCAUUUCCUAGCCAUUAUACGGAUAUAUUUAUUAUAUCUUAUGGUAUUGGGUUUUGAUGCAAGCUUCUUGAUCAAAGUAUCACGAGUUUGUUAUAUAAUCGCAAACAAAUUCUUUAAUGAGAAAAUGCAUUUAUGUAUUUUCAAUUUGAAAAUUUGGUAUAACUCCAAUUACUCAGGUAUGAUCCAAUUCAAGGACAUUGCCAGGUAGGGAGUUUGACUGGGGCGGUACAUCUCUCAAAUAAUAACGGAGGUGUCCCAAGGCCAGCUCAGUGCGGACAGAAACCACACAUAGAGCAAAAGGGCAAAUGCUGACUUGAUCUCGGUGUUCAGUACACACAGGGACAGCAAAAGCUCGGCCUAUCGAUCCUUUUGGUUUAAAUAGUUUUUAACAAGAGGUGUCAGAAAAGUUACCAUAGGGAUAACUGGCUUGUGGCGGCCAAGCGUUCAUAGCGACGUCGCUUUUUGAUCCUUCGAUGUCGGCUCUUCCUAUCAUUGUGAAGCAAAAUUCACCAAGCGUUGGAUUGUUCACCCAUGCAAGGGAACGUGAGCUGGGUUUAGACCGUCGUGAGACAGGUUAGUUUUACCCUACUAAUGACAAAACGUUGUUGCGACAGCAUUCCUGCGUAGUACGAGAGGAACCGCAGGUACGGACCAAUGGCACAAUACUUGUUCGAGCGAACAGUGGUAUGACGCUACGUCCGUUGGAUUAUGCCUGAACGCCUCUAAGGUCGUAUCCGUGCUGGACUGCAAUGAUAAAUAAGGGGCAAUUUGCAUUGU
Molecule: ribosomal RNA, 3514 nt
Filed under: Drosophila persimilis
Lineage: Eukaryota; Metazoa; Arthropoda; Insecta; Diptera; Drosophilidae
Description: eukaryotic LSU rRNA
Rfam family: Eukaryotic large subunit ribosomal RNA
Source: RNAcentral